UGAGGAAUAUUGGGCAAUGCCCGCAAGGGUGACCCAGCAACGCCGCGUGGAGGAUGAAGGCCGUAAGGUUGUAAACUCCUGUUAGAGGAGAAGAACAGUACCGAUUGGAUCGGUAUUUGACUGUACCCUCAGAGAAAGCCCCGGCUAACUACGUGCCAGCAGCCGCGGUAAUACGUAGGGGGCAAGCGUUGUCCGGAUUUACUGGGUGUAAAGGGCGCGCAGGCGGGAUAGCAAGUCAGAGGUGAAAUCC
Molecule: ribosomal RNA, 250 nt
Filed under: uncultured bacterium
Lineage: Bacteria
Description: partial 16S ribosomal RNA
Rfam family: Bacterial small subunit ribosomal RNA
Source: RNAcentral